This 443-nucleotide ribosomal RNA is filed under the name uncultured bacterium. RNAcentral describes it as "partial 16S ribosomal RNA". It matches the Rfam family "Bacterial small subunit ribosomal RNA", at positions 338 to 795 of the family's 1533-position model. The record is from RNAcentral.
CCUACGGGAGGCUGCAGUCGGGAAUAUUGCGCAAUGGACGCAAGCCUGACCCAGCAACGCCGCGUGAAGGAAGAAGGCUUUCGGGUUGUAAACUGCUUUUCUCAGGGACGAAAAAAGUGACGGUACCUGAGGAAUGAGCCGCGGCUAACUACGUGCCAGCAGCCGCGGUAAUACGUAGGUGGCAAGCGUUAUCCGGAUUUACUGGGUGUAAAGUGCGUGUAGGCGGGACUGCAAGUCAGAUGUGAAAACCAUGGGCUUAACCUGUGGCCUGCAUUUGAAACUGUUGUUCUUGAGUACUGGAGAGGAAGGCGGAAUUCCUAGUGUAGCGGUGAAAUGCGUAGAUAUUAGGAGGAACACCAGUGGCGAAGGCGGUCUGCUGGACAGCAACUGACGCUGAGGCGCGAAAGUGUGGGGAGCAAACAGGAUUAGAUACCCGUGUAGUC